ACGCUGGCGGCGUGCUUAACACAUGCAAGUCGAACGGUGACGGAGAGCUUGCUCUCCUGAUCAGUGGCGAACGGGUGAGUAACACGUGGGCAACCUGCCCCAGACUUCGGGAUAACGCUUCGAAAGAGGUGCUAAUACCGAAUACGAACCUCCCUGGCAUCUGGGAGGUUGGAAAGUUUUUCGGUCUGGGAUGGGCCCGCGGCCUAUCAGCUUGUUGGUGAGGUAACGGCUCACCAAGGCGACACGGGUAGCCGGCCUGAGAGGGCGACCGGCCACACUGGGACUGAGACACGGCCCAGACUCCUACGGGAGGCAGCAGUGGGGAAUAUUGCGCAAUGGGCGAAAGCCUGACGCAGCAACGCCGCGUGAGGGAUGACGGCCUUCGGGUUGUAAACCUCUUUCAGCAGGGAAGAAGCGAAAGUGACGGUACCUGCAGAAGAAGCACCGGCUAACUACGUG
RNAcentral lists this ribosomal RNA (459 nucleotides) under uncultured bacterium. RNAcentral describes it as "bacterial SSU rRNA". It matches the Rfam family "Bacterial small subunit ribosomal RNA", at positions 33 to 507 of the family's 1533-position model. The record is from RNAcentral.